Molecule: RNase P RNA, 373 nt
Filed under: Anaerolineales bacterium
Lineage: Bacteria; Bacillati; Chloroflexota; Anaerolineae; Anaerolineales
Description: RNase P RNA component class A
Rfam family: Bacterial RNase P class A
About the family: Ribonuclease P (RNase P) is a ubiquitous endoribonuclease, found in archaea, bacteria and eukarya as well as chloroplasts and mitochondria. Its best characterised activity is the generation of mature 5'-ends of tRNAs by cleaving the 5'-leader elements of precursor-tRNAs.
Source: RNAcentral
CAUCCGGGUUGGGGCGGACGUACAGGAGCAGAACAUCCUGGUGGUUAAGAUUAAAAAAAAAAAAAAAAAAGACAAAACGAAAAAAGAAAAAGAGAGGAAUAUUGCUAAAUUGUUACGUCAGUAGCAAUAAGUGAGGGUGAAACGGUGGAGUAAGAGUCCACCGGCGGCGGCAGCAAUGUCGCCGGCCAGGCAAACCCCACCGGGAGCAAGGUCAAGCAGGGUGGAAGCCUUCGGGCUGCGGGGCUGCUCGUUCCGCCAAUACAUCCGGGUAGACUGCAUGAGGUGUCUGGUAACAGGCAUCCCAGAUAGAUGAUCGCCGGUCACCGGCUCCGGCCGGUGACAACAGAAUGCGGCUUACAGGCUGGCUUGGUUU